UGGGGAAUAUUGGACAAUGGGCGCAAGCCUGAUCCAGCCAUGCCGCGUGAGUGAUGAAGGCCCUAGGGUUGUAAAGCUCUUUCACCGGUGAAGAUAAUGACGGUAACCGGAGAAGAAGCCCCGGCUAACUUCGUGCCAGCAGCCGCGGUAAUACGAAGGGGGCUAGCGUUGUUCGGAAUUACUGGGCGUAAAGCGCACGUAGGCGGACAUUUAAGUCAGGGGUGAAAUCCCGGGGCUCAACCCCGGAACUGCCUUUGAUACUGGGUGUCUAGAGUUCGAGAGAGGUGAGUGGAAUUCCGAGUGUAGAGGUGAAAUUCGUAGAUAUUCGGAGGAACACCAGUGGCGAAGGCGGCUCACUGGCUCGAUACUGACGCUGAGGUGCGAAAGCGUGGGGAGCAAAACAGGAUUAGGAUACCCUGGUAGUCCACGCCGUAAACGAUGGAAGCCAGCUGUCGGCAAGUUUACUUGUCGGUGGCGCAGCUAACGCAUUAAGCUUCCCGCCUGGGGAGUACGGUCGCAAGAUUAAAACUCAAAUGAAUUGACGGGGUCAUAGCUGUUUCCUG
Molecule: ribosomal RNA, 563 nt
Filed under: uncultured bacterium
Lineage: Bacteria
Description: partial 16S ribosomal RNA
Rfam family: Bacterial small subunit ribosomal RNA
Source: RNAcentral